This 1355-nucleotide ribosomal RNA is filed under the name uncultured bacterium. RNAcentral's name for it is "bacterial SSU rRNA". It matches the Rfam family "Bacterial small subunit ribosomal RNA", at positions 28 to 1381 of the family's 1533-position model. The record is from RNAcentral.
AUUGAACGCUGGCGGCAGGCUUAACACAUGCAAGUCGAACGAUGACUCUCUAGCUUGCUAGAGAAGAUUAGUGGCGGACGGGUGAGUAACAUUUAGGAAUCUGCCUAGUAGUGGGGGAUAGCUCGGGGAAACUCGAAUUAAUACCGCAUACAACCUACGGGUGAAAGGGGGCGCAAACUCUUGCUAUUAGAUGAGCCUAAAUCAGAUUAGCUAGUUGGUGGGGUAAAGGCCCACCAAGGCGACGAUCUGUAACUGGUCUGAGAGGAUGAUCAGUCACACCGGAACUGAGACACGGUCCGGACUCCUACGGGAGGCAGCAGUGGGGAAUAUUGGACAAUGGGGGCAACCCUGAUCCAGCCAUGCCGCGUGUGUGAAGAAGGCCUUUUGGUUGUAAAGCACUUUAAGCAGGGAGGAGAGGCUAAUGGUUAAUACCCAUUAGAUUAGACGUUACCUGCAGAAUAAGCACCGGCUAACUCUGUGCCAGCAGCCGCGGUAAUACAGAGGGUGCGAGCGUUAAUCGGAAUUACUGGGCGUAAAGCGAGUGUAGGUGGCUCAUUAAGUCACAUGUGAAAUCCCCGGGCUUAACCUGGGAACUGCAUGUGAUACUGGUGGUGCUAGAAUAUGUGAGAGGGAAGUAGAAUUCCAGGUGUAGCGGUGAAAUGCGUAGAGAUCUGGAGGAAUACCGAUGGCGAAGGCAGCUUCCUGGCAUAAUAUUGACACUGAGAUUCGAAAGCGUGGGUAGCAAACAGGAUUAGAUACCCUGGUAGUCCACGCCGUAAACGAUGUCUACUAGCCGUUGGGGUCCUUGAGACUUUAGUGGCGCAGUUAACGCGAUAAGUAGACCGCCUGGGGAGUACGGCCGCAAGGUUAAAACUCAAAUGAAUUGACGGGGGCCCGCACAAGCGGUGGAGCAUGUGGUUUAAUUCGAUGCAACGCGAAGAACCUUACCUGGUCCUGACAUAGUGAGAAUCUUUCAGAGAUGAGAGAGUGCCUUCGGGAAUUCACAUACAGGUGCUGCAUGGCUGUCGUCAGCUCGUGUCGUGAGAUGUUGGGUUAAGUCCCGCAACGAGCGCAACCCUUUUCCUUAUUUGCCAGCGGGUUAAGCCGGGAACUUUAAGGAUACUGCCAGUGACAAACUGGAGGAAGGCGGGGACGACGUCAAGUCAUCAUGGCCCUUACGACCAGGGCUACACACGUGCUACAAUGGUAGGUACAGAGGGUUGCUACACAGCGAUGUGAUGCUAAUCUCAAAAAGCCUAUCGUAGUCCGGAUUGGAGUCUGCAACUCGACUCCAUGAAGUCGGAAUCGCUAGUAAUCGCAGAUCAGAAUGCCGCGGUGAAUACGUUCCCGGGCCU